GUGGAAGCAACUGUUGUAGAUGGCAAUGGGACAGAGACGGGCCAUAUAAUUGUGACAACAAUUGGUGGUCGAAAUGGCUACUCAAAGCAGACAAUCAGCUACAUGGCAGAACGUGCUGUUGGGCAUGGAUCAUUUGGAGUCGUGUUUCAAGCAAAGUGCUUAGAGACUGGGGAAACUGUGGCUAUAAAAAAGGUUCUCCAAGACAAAAGGUACAAGAACCGCGAGCUGCAAACUAUGCGGCUUCUUGACCAUCCAAAUGUUGUUGCAUUAAAGCAUUGCUUCUUCUCAACCACCGAAAAGGAUGAACUGUAUCUCAACCUGGUUCUUGAGUAU
Molecule: unclassified non-coding RNA, 333 nt
Filed under: Hevea brasiliensis (rubber tree)
Lineage: Eukaryota; Viridiplantae; Streptophyta; Magnoliopsida; Malpighiales; Euphorbiaceae
Source: RNAcentral